RNAcentral lists this long non-coding RNA (203 nucleotides) under Elaeis guineensis (African oil palm). Its description in RNAcentral is "long non-coding RNA (EGUI_LNC077878)". Lineage: Eukaryota; Viridiplantae; Streptophyta; Magnoliopsida; Arecales; Arecaceae. The record is from RNAcentral.
GAAAGAUAAUUAGCCGUUAUUUUUAUACUGUUUUAAAGACUAUCAUAGAACUAGAAGGAAAAUUCCUACAACAACCCAAUGGAUCUCAAGUCCCUAUAGAAAUACUCUCGAUUCUUUCCUUUUUUUAAGAUGCAAGAUAUACUCUAAACUAUAAGUUAUUUUAUAAUAUGUAUAUUAUAUCUCAUCAAGUAAUAAAGUUCUAA